AUGUGCUGUCAACCCGCUCCGUAGCCUGCGAAGCCCGCUGAGAGAAUUGGAGGGGCAGACGAGGUUAAUUUGUUUCACGCAUGGCUCGUUUUGCGUGUCAAGCCUAUCCAUAUCUUCUUUCACUAUGUGGUUGUAUAUCUGACUUUGUACACGCGUUUCAUAUUUCCUUUCUUUAUGACAUGUCCUCUUUAUUUUUUCGCUCCCCGUUUGAGUCAGCGUAAAAAAAGCGCAUGGCAGCUUCGUGCGUGACAGAAAGAUGGAUGACCGAGAUAUUUCCGCACGCAACUAUUGUUUUUCCCGAGGACCUGAGCCCUAGGACCAUGCCUCAGGACUACCUGGCCUGAUGACUCCUUGCUGUCCCCAUUCCACCUAGCCGUGCUGCUGCUCCAGUUUCAACUGUUCUGCCUGUGGCUAUGGAACCCUGACCUGUUUGCCGGACGUGCUACCUGUCACAGACCUGCUGUUUUCAACUCUCUAGAGACAGCAGGAGCGGUAGAGAUACUCUGAAUGAUCGGCUAUGAAAAGCCAACUGACAUUUGCUCCUGAGCUGCUAACCCGUUGCACCCUCGACAACCACUGUGAUUAUUAUUAUUUGACCCUGCUGGUCAUCUAUGAACAUUUGAACGUCUUGGCCAUGUUCUGUUAUUAUCUCCACCUGAAACAGCCAGAUGAGGACUGGCCACCCCUCAUAGCCUGGUUCCCCUCUAGGUUUCUUCCUAGGUUUUGGCCUUUCUAGGCAGUUUUGUCCUAGCCACCGUGCUUCUACACCUGCAUUGCUUGCUGUUUGUGGUUUUAUGCUGGGUUUCUGUACAGCACUUUGAGAUAUCAGCUGAUGUAAGAAGGGCUUUAUAAAUACAUUUGAAGUACUGCUCUAAUGGUUUACAGUACUCCAUAGAAUUGGUAAUAACAAGUGGUAAUAACCCAGUAAUAACAUGGUAAUAAAACACAGUAAUAACAUAGUAUAAACAGUAAUACCAUGUUAAUAAAUAAGUGUUGUGUGCUUUGGCAUUGCGUGUAUGAACAAUGGUGAUAUUGUCGCUCUCUCCUGACUGUUCAUGCAUGUUUUUAUUUUCCUGAGAGUUCAAAGAAGACACUUCCAAUCCUCUGGUAGCACAGACUGUUCUGUCUGUUCUGUCAGACUAGAAUAAAAUACUGAGAGAUGAGUGCACCAAUCUGACCUGUCACCUGAGUGGUUAAUUGCUCUAACUACCAGUCUGUGUACAGGGGUUAGUUGACCUCCUCCAUAACAAACUCCUGCCCUCAUGCACACACAACAACACGCCCUCACACAGAUGCAAACCCACUCACGAAAAAUUCCCUCACACUCACACACACAUACCUGGUUUGAAGGUGUGUGACAGGUGUUUGGUUAUUGCGUGCCAAAGGACUGAAGACUUCAGCUGCCUUUACAGUCAUUACUCAGAAAGGGAGAUUCUUCAAGGGAAUUUCAAUUUGCUGUGGGCUAAACAGUGUUUUAGUUAUGAUGUGAGCUCUGUAAAUGGACAUCCUGGAUGUAUGUGUGUGACCCUAACAUGACUAAAUAACAGACUACUUGAACAUUUCCUAUUGAUAUUUGUCACGUUAUUGUCCUCAAUUGCUGCCCUAUAUACAUAGACUUGGAAUCACUGGCCACUUUAAUAAUAGAACACUAGUCACUUUAAUAAUGUUUAAAUUAUGUUUACAUACUACUUUACUCAUCUCAUAUGUAUAUACUGUAUUAUAUUCUACUGUAUUUUAGUCAAUGCCACUCCAACAUUGCUUGAUCGAAUAUUUAUAUAUUUCUUAAUUCCAUUAUUUUACUUUUAGAUGUGUGUGUAUUGUUGUGAAUUGUUAGAUACUACUGCACUGUUGGAACUAGGAACACAAGCAUCUCGCUACAACCGCAAUAACAUAAAUAUGUGUAUGUGACCAAAAAUAUUUGAUUUGAAUGUAAUUCCAUGUAUGAACCUGCGUUGCAACUAGAGGUCAUACAAACUGUUGGAGGUCAUUGAGUAAGUCACUAAUGAUGAGCAGGGAGUGGCGUGUUAGAGCAUAACCAUAUGAACAGAGAAGCCUAUUUCAAACGGGUGUGAUCCUGAUGUUUACGUUGAAUGCUGGACCUGUAUGGAAUAAUGUCCCUCCCAUGGCCUCUCACGCUAUCGUCUCCCUCUCCUCUCACAAAGCUGUGCGUCAUGCUUAGUGUGAUUAUAUACUUUAUGUUUAUGCUUAAUAAAUCAGCCUUUGACUGUGUCAUGCUGUACCAGUGAA
This is a long non-coding RNA of Oncorhynchus masou masou (cherry salmon), 2247 nucleotides long. RefSeq lists it as uncharacterized. Lineage: Eukaryota; Metazoa; Chordata; Actinopteri; Salmoniformes; Salmonidae. The record is from RefSeq and is a predicted model, not a curated record. The transcript has 2 exons.